CUAGUGCCAAUCUGGUGUUAUCGACUGCUUUGGUCUGAAGCGUAACACCUCCUACAUGACAUGAAUGGAUCAAGGAGGAAAGCUGCUUCUAUUCGAAAUAUGACCAAAAAGGGUUGUGAUUGAUUGGGACUGUAGCGCUGUCAACAUUUCAAGUGAAAGGCUUAGAGUUUUAUCUUUAGGAAAAUGUAUUCGUAAAAUUAGCUUGUUGGCCAUGAAGUUUUAAAAGGAGUGGAUGCAUGUUGUCGAGAUACGUUGAGGAUGACAGCUGUCUCCAAGUUCUUCUUGGCUUCCUCGCGGCCACUAUAAGGGCUCCGGGAACCAAAUCUCCUCCAUCAUCGUGUUAGUUGUUUGACACACUUUCUCACAGAAAUGAAAAGGGGAUACUGUGACCAAACUGGCCUACUGAUGUCCAUACAGACUAACCCUACACAAGACAAUGUCUGUCACAUUGGUGCCAUGACCAAGUUGGACCUUCGCCCAACCGGGAUCAUUCUGGACAUCAUCUGCGUUGUGAUAAUCAACAAAGCCUGACUGCCCACAACACCUGGAUCAGAGAGCCAGUCCAAUGAAAUCUGUCAAGAAAACCGCAGAUAAACAAGGCCUGUAUCAUCAUUGUAGUCUAGUACUACACUUUUAUUAUACACGAAGACAGAACAUGACAUGCUUGUAUCAUUGCAAAAAAAAACCUAACUACAAUCAGUCAUGCACUCUCAGACUCACUCUUACUAUACAACUCAUGUUAUUCAUUACAAUGUGUUCAUUCAGCUGUAACAUACCCACAUUUUUAAUUUAAAAAACCCCUCAAAUCUCAAGAACCUGAAUGAAUAUAUGUGUCUCCAGGCUACAAUGGGUUAAAGCGCUGGAGGCCAGAAGGAAAGUAGAGUGAUUACACUCAUUCUCAAACUGGGCACAAUGUGGACAGUAUUCCAAGUGCGCCUUUAAAUAAUAUUGGUUUGUGGGUUUUGUGUUGUUUAUUCAGAGGUGGGCCCCAAGGUUCAGUUACACCAUUAGGUGUAAGUGAUCACCAUUCUUUGUUACACCAUGAUUUUCCUAAAUGUAUGUAUAUUCCAGUUCAGUCUUGUUUAUAUAAUUCUGCACAACUUGGUUUAUCUUUCUUCCCAUGUUUAACUGCAGUCAACCUGCCAUCCAAGCCGAGACCAAACACAUCAUAGCACUGUGGUGGUCAACCAAGGUUCCAGAUGAGUUCCACGACGUGUCCACCAAGACCAGAGGAGGCUGCUGCGGACAGCUCCCCUGCGAGAAACCUUGCUACGCCCAGUAUAGGCACACAACUCUAAUUUCACUGCAUGUUUUAGUAUUUCUAUGCAUGCAACCUAUAAAUCCUUUAAAUCUUGCAAUUGAUGUAGACUUGUAAGCCAUCUUUAAGCAACUAAUACGUUAUUCUAACCUCUUCACAUUGAUACACAUUUUGUGCACUUCAGAUCAAUUUCCUGUAUUUUGUUCUUGCUCUUUCCCUGCAGAAACACAAUUGAACAGAUUUAAUAAAUGUUCGUCUUUGUCAAUAA
Long non-coding RNA from Engraulis encrasicolus (European anchovy), 1526 nucleotides. RefSeq lists it as uncharacterized. The transcript has 3 exons. NCBI's taxonomy places the organism in Eukaryota, Metazoa, Chordata, Actinopteri, Clupeiformes, Engraulidae. The record is from RefSeq and is a predicted model, not a curated record.